This 300-nucleotide signal recognition particle RNA is filed under the name Carlito syrichta (Philippine tarsier). RNAcentral describes it as "Metazoan signal recognition particle RNA (ENSTSYG00000037044.1)". It matches the Rfam family "Metazoan signal recognition particle RNA". Rfam says of the family: The signal recognition particle (SRP) is a universally conserved ribonucleoprotein. The record is from RNAcentral. Lineage: Eukaryota; Metazoa; Chordata; Mammalia; Primates; Tarsiidae.
GCCAGGCAUGGUGGCACAUACCUGUAGUCCCAGCUAUUUAGGAGGAGGCUGAGGGGAGGAUUACUUGAGCCCAGGAGUUCUGGGCUAUAGUGUGCUAUGCUGAUUACAUGUCCACACUAAGUUGGGCAUCAGUAUGGUGACUUCCUGGGAGCAGGGGACCACCAGGUUGUCUAAAGAGGGAUGAACUGACCUAGGUUGGAAACAGAGCAGGUCAAAACUCCUGGGCUGAGGAACAGUAGGACUAAGCCUGUGAAUAGCCACUGUACUUUAGCCUGGACAUCACAGCAAGAAUCCGUCUCU